RNAcentral lists this unclassified non-coding RNA (314 nucleotides) under uncultured fungus. RNAcentral describes it as "partial contains 5.8S rRNA and ITS2". Lineage: Eukaryota; Fungi. The record is from RNAcentral.
AACGCAAAUUGCGCUCGAGGCUUCUGCCAAGAGCAUGUCUGCCUCAGCGUCGGGUUAAUACUCAAUCCCUCUCCCCUGGGGAGUGGACUGGAACUGGCUGUCUCGGUUGCCUCUGGCGGCCGGGUCGGCUGAAGUGCAGAGGUUAAUGCACGGACCCACUAAAUGGGCCUCUACUGGGUAGGCAAUUCGUUGCUAAAUGCUUUAGUAGAUGGUCUAGGGACCGAGCUGGUUAACCCGAAUCAGGAACAGUCGCUUGCGACUGAAACCCUCAUUUUCUCGACCUGAGCUCAGGCAAGAUUACCCGCUGAACUUAA